UCCCACAUGCAGUUUAUUCAUCUUGCUCUGAUAUAGGAGAAGACAAGUAUAGAGGAGGAAAGACUUAUUGCGGCUCAUGGUGCCGGAGGUCUCCUUCCACGGCCACUACUUGGCUCUCUUGUUUCUGGCUUUGUGAAUGCUGAGGCGGAGAGUCACGGUGAGGAGCACAGGAAGGAGCAAGGUAGCUCCCUUUGUAAUAGACAGGGAGCCUCACAGUGCGGACGUCAGAAUCAGGACAGAGGGUAUCCAGAGUCUCAUGUGGAGCAGAUCACCCACCGCUCAAGUGCAUGCCAUCCUUCGUCACCGGCAGCCAAGGAGGCCUCAGAGGUACCUGGGGUCUGAGCCUUUGCUCAUGGAGGAACUCCAGCUUGUGCCGGUGCUGGCCCCAGUACAGUGAACUCCUCCCACCCCUGCCUCCACCUCUCUGUCCCCAGUACAGUGAACUCCUCCCACCCGGCCUCCACCUCUCCUACUUAGAUCCCAUUUUCAGCUUUACCUUUAAAUAACAGUAGGAGUUGCCCAUUUGGAGUGCAUGAGGGAGGCAGGCUGAGUUUCACCGGGGAACAAGAGCAUCGUGAAGAGCAACACUCCAUGCCUGCUCUACUCAGCACAUCUUUCCUGAUGCCCGAGUGCAGAGCAGAUUGGAAAAUUCAUUACAUUUGUCAGGACUUGAAGACGAUCUAAAUGCAAGCUGCCCUGCUCUGAGAUUUAGUAGCCUUCAGGAUAGCUUGCAUAUUUGUUAUAUUGCCACCUUUGGUGUUUUAACAUUUAUUAUCCCCCAGGGUCAUAAAAAUGUCUUCCUUUUUACAGAGAGCACAGACCCAGAACUCCUGGGCCCACCAACUCACUGGCGUUGGAAAGGAUCUCAGUGAAGUUUUGUACUCUUGAUUUGUAACUAAAAUGCAACUCUGCUAUGAAGUUGUUUGGCCUGGCAAGUUGCAGUGAGGGCAUCUCCUCCCUCCCCGAAGAUAUGGCUGCUGAGACACCAGUAUGAACAAGUGUGCUAGCUCAGGCUAGCUCAGGGUCUCAGACUUGUGUGUUUGUCCUAGCUGAUUUGUGGAACAAUGCAUUGCUCUAAAAUUGCUUUUUUUCUUAUUCUUUAAGUUAGACCAGACAAGUUGAGUGCUGGCUUUUGCUUCAUUCAAAGCAAGGUUAAGGGUAGGGUAAUGGCUGUGGGACCUGAUUUGCUACUCAGGCUUCUAUCUAGCUCAUGUCUUCUUUUCUUUUCUUCUUCCUCUUCACCCUCUUCCUUCUCUUCCUCCUCUUCUUCUUCCUGUGAGUGCAAAUACUCAUCCUUCAACAGAUAAAAGAGAAUUCAUGCGACAACUUGCACCCCCAAAACACCCAAAACCACCCCCCCCAAAAAUCCCCCAGACAACAAAAGAAAAAUGGUUGUUUUGACUUUAGCUAUUUCAGAGAUUUUGGUUUAUACUCAUAAUUUCUGAGCCUGAGGUGGGGCAGAAUAUUAUGGUGGGAGCUGUGUUUGAAGCAAUUCUGCUCCAUUUAUGGUGGCCAAGAGUCCAAGAAGGGGAAAAGGAGCAAGGCUCUCAGGAUGCCUUGAAGGGCACACCCCACUGAAUUAAUUUCCUUAAAUGAGGCCCUGCCUCCUCAGGUUGUACUAUCUCCCAGUAACCAUUAAGUUAUGGAUCUACCAGUGGAUGAACCCUUGGUGAGGCCAUCUCAUCAACUCUGAACACUGUUCUGGUGGGACCAAGCCUUCAACAUCUGAGCUAUGGAGAGCCAUUUAUUAUGCAAGCUUGAACAGAGCCCUUGAGGGAGCAUAGACAUGGCUGCAAACAAGACAACCCUCUGCUCUCAAGGAAGGUGCUAUCUCCCAAGACUGACUAUUCUGCCAUUGAAAAGGUGCUGGCUGCCCGUUUACAAGAAGUGUGAGAGCCUUGGACAACUGCUUCCCAGCACCAGGUCCUGUGUGGGCCACGGCAGCUGCUGUGAACUCAUCGUUGCAGAGGUCAAACCCAGAUGACACACUUCUCUCCUUCCUCUUCCUGCCUCCUCUUCUGUAUUGGUCCCUGAGCCUUGGGGAGAAGGCACGUGAUACAGAUGUCUUAUUUAUGGCUGAGUGCUCCACAUCCUCUUAUCCUCUGCACUUUGAUCACUGGUAAGUUUCUGAGUUAACCAUUGCCCACUGCACAAGGAGGCUUCUCUGAUGUGGUCUGAGAGAUGCACUAACCUAUGGGUAGAGAGAUAUCUAUUUUGAGGGUAGUUUGAUGCUGUAUGCAUUCAGCCAAAUAAUGAGGAGUGGGGGCUCAGGUCUAUGAGCUCCCUGGACACAGGCUCUUAGUCUAGAAUUAUUCUUAAUAAAUAUACUUCUCCUAAUAUUAAAAAUUACCAUGAGAAUUAUAAAACAUCUGAAAAGUAGAGACCCAAAAUAAAAUACGACACUGGUCUAAUUAUGUUAUUGCAAACACAGGUAAGUUUAUAUUCUUUUGGAGUGUGUGUAUACCUGCUUAUAACUUUUAUAAUCAUUGUUGUCAUACUUUUAAACCACUUUUUAUUUAUUUUUUUAAUUUAUUAUUAUUAUUAUUAUUAUUAUUAUUAUUGGUUUUUCGAGACAGGGUUUCUCUGUAUAGCCCGGGCUGUCCUGGAACUCACUUUGUAUACCAGGCUGGCCUCGAACUCAGAAAUCUGCCUGCCUCUGCCUCCAGAGUGCUGGGAUUAAAGGCGUGUGCCACCACCCCCGCUCACUUUUUAUUUUUUAUUAGGCCAUGAAAAGCAGUUUUCAUAAAUAUUAUUUAAAAAUAAAAAUCAUUUUAAAAAAUAAAAAUCAUUUAAAAAUACUGAAUGCCAACAUUUAUUCAGUUUUUGGACAUUUGAUCUUGAGUCAAGUGUAAAAUAAGAUCGCAGGCCUUGGAAUUGAUAUUCUACUUGUAUCAUUUACCAGAGCUACAACUGCGGAGUAGUUAAUUAUUUUCUGUAGGCCUUGAUUUAAUUUACAGUAAAAUGGGUUAAUUGAAUUUUUAUAGGGUGGUAGAGAAAGCCAAUGAGAAUGAGAUAGUACUUACAAAUAAUCUUAACAGUGCCUGGCACUUAAACAGUAUCUGCAUAGUAAAUGCUUCUUUUAUUACUAUUGCUUCCAUUUCUUAUCUUAAUCCAUGGUCUAAGACAAGAAUACUAGUAAUAGCUCAAAAUGCCUGAAGCUGGGACUUUCUGAAGAAGUGCAUCUUAGCCAGGCAUGCUAACACGUAGCUGGAAUCCCAGCAUCUGAGAGGCUGAAGCAGGAGGAUUACAACUGUGGGCCCUGCAUGUUCAGAUUUUUGUCCUUCCAGCCCAGACAGAGGUCAAAGUUCGCUCUAACCACAUUACUGUCUGCAAAACUGGAAGGGGAGCCGGCGGGGAGCUUCAGUUGGACCUAUAAUGUCCUGCCUUUUUCUGCUGGGGAGUGGGUCCGUAUAUUAUUUAUACUAGUUAAACAUUUUUGCUCACCUGAAGUAUUUCUUAAUU
This is a long non-coding RNA of Mus musculus (house mouse), 3462 nucleotides long. RefSeq annotates it as predicted gene, 30266. The record is from RefSeq and is a predicted model, not a curated record. NCBI's taxonomy places the organism in Eukaryota, Metazoa, Chordata, Mammalia, Rodentia, Muridae. The transcript has 5 exons.